UCCGCGACAGGAGAUGGCAUGCCUCCUUGUAACCGCCCUCGGGGCUGAUGAUGCCUACACGGAU
RNAcentral lists this non-coding RNA (64 nucleotides) under Pseudogulbenkiania sp. NH8B. Its description in RNAcentral is "Fluoride riboswitch aptamer (crcB RNA motif)". It matches the Rfam family "Fluoride riboswitch aptamer (crcB RNA motif)". The record is from Rfam by way of RNAcentral. Lineage: Bacteria; Pseudomonadati; Pseudomonadota; Betaproteobacteria; Neisseriales; Chromobacteriaceae. RNAcentral also lists the same sequence under 1 other name.